RNAcentral lists this ribosomal RNA (426 nucleotides) under uncultured bacterium. RNAcentral describes it as "bacterial SSU rRNA". It matches the Rfam family "Bacterial small subunit ribosomal RNA", at positions 354 to 796 of the family's 1533-position model. The record is from RNAcentral.
GUAAGGGAUAUUGCGCAAUGGGCGAAAGCCUGACGCAGCAACGCCGCGUGAAGGAUGAAGGCCUUCGGGUCGUAAACUUCUUUGGACGGGGACGAGGAAGGACGGUACCCGUCGAACAAGUCACGGCUAACUACGUGCCAGCAGCCGCGGUAAAACGUAGGUGGCAAGCGUUAUCCGGAUUUACUGGGCGUAAAGCGUGUGCAGGCGGCGCUCCAAGUGGUGUAUGAAAUCGCUCGGCUCAACCGGGCGCGGUUAUGCCAGACUGGAGUGCUAGAGGCUGAAAGAGGGUGGUGGAAUUCCGGGUGUAGUGGUGAAAUGCGUAGAGAUCCGGAGGAACCCCAGAGGCGAAGGCGGCCACCUGGUUCAGCACUGACGCUCAGACACGACAGCAUGGGGAGCGAACGGGAUUAGAUACCCUUGUAGUCC